CCUACGGGUGGCAGCAGUGGGGAAUAUUGCACAAUGGGGGAAACCCUGAUGCAGCAACGCCGCGUGAAGGAUGACUGCCCUACGGGUUGUAAACUUCUUUUAUAAAGGAAUAAAGUGAGGCACGUGUGCCUUUUUGUAUGUACUUUAUGAAUAAGGAUCGGCUAACUCCGUGCCAGCAGCCGCGGUAAUACGGAGGAUCCGAGCGUUAUCCGGAUUUAUUGGGUUUAAAGGGAGCGUAGAUGGGUUGUUAAGUCAGUUGUGAAAGUUUGCGGCUCAACCGUAAAAUUGCAAUUGAUACUGGCAGCCUUGAGUACAGUUGAGGUAGGCGGAAUUCGUGGUGUAGCGGUGAAAUGCUUAGAUAUCACGAAGAACUCCGAUUGCGAAGGCAGCCUACUAAACUGCCACUGACAUUGAUGCUCGAAAGUGUGGGUAUCAAACAGGAUUAGAUACCCGGGUAGUC
RNAcentral lists this ribosomal RNA (460 nucleotides) under uncultured bacterium. Its description in RNAcentral is "partial 16S ribosomal RNA". It matches the Rfam family "Bacterial small subunit ribosomal RNA", at positions 338 to 795 of the family's 1533-position model. The record is from RNAcentral.